Molecule: non-coding RNA, 30 nt
Filed under: Rattus norvegicus (Norway rat)
Lineage: Eukaryota; Metazoa; Chordata; Mammalia; Rodentia; Muridae
Source: RNAcentral
UGUAAAAAUAUACAAAUGAUCUGGGAAAAG